AUGACGACAGGGCCGCUGAAGCCUGAGGCAGGGGAAUGGUUUAUUCUGCCUGAGAGGAGCUUGGAAGGCUUGUGGAGAAAGCACUGUUUGAGUAGGAACGCUGAGGCCGGGCAAGACCUAACUGUUGAAUGCUGCUAAACCAGGACCAGACUGUGACCAUGAAGAGACAAGUCCAGGCAGCCACGAAAAGGGCCCCCCUCUGUAAGCUUCUGUUGCCCUACGCUGUGUUCAAUUCUUGCCGUCCCUGACGCUGAAGCCCUGGUUAUUCUUCCGGCCAUGUUGAGCCAUCCUUCAGCUGACACAAAGAAAGCCAGCCUUUCAUCGGCGCCCACCUGUGCCAGGAACAGGUCGAAAAGGAGGCAGAGAGCUGCCACUGCCUGCAAGAAAUUUUCACCAGACCAGGGACUGGAAGGCUAUGGCCCAGUGGGCAAAGCUGGUCUAUCUCUUGCUUUUGUGCAGAAGCUUUCAUCGGAUGUGGCCAUGCCCAUUUGGCCCUGCGUCAUCCGUGGCUGUGUUCUCUCUACCACAGCACAGGUGAGUAGUUAUGUGUCAGAAGCCUGUGCUCACACAGCCUGAAAAAUACUUCUGACCCUUUAGGGUCUAGACUGAAUGUUCGGGGAGCAAUCAGAGUCCCCCUCCUAAUCAGGGACCAGCUGUGAUGGGUGGCCUUACCGCUAAUGUCCCCAGGAGGGCCCAAGUGUACAUGCUCACUCCCUGGUUGCCAGGCUCCCUGAGAUGGGCAGAUGCCCCCGGGGGUCGGGGUGGCCGUCCCAGGGGAGAAGAGCACCCUCCCCUGAAGCCCAAGCCUUCCCCAUCUCUUUGCACACACGUCCUCCUUCGAGAGUAGAAAGAACCGGGGGAGAAUCUGCCCUAGUCCCGCCCUGGCCCCUCUACCCACUCGCUGGGUCACGGCAGGAGCGCUGUGGAACAGCACCCAAGCUGCCAAGCCUCUAGAUCCUGCGUCCUUUGUGCUUUCAGUUCAUCCAUCUCUAACUGAGGGACAGGAAGGCACCUGCGUCCUUGGCUCUGCUCGGAAAACGCAACCCUUGCUUGUGCAGCCAGGGUGGCUGUUACUGCAGUUCUUGUUUUGGGAGGGGAAGGAACAGCGCCUCUUCACCCAGAGACCUGAGGUUUUUCCGACAGCGAGCCCAAGGCAGCAGCCUCCCAUUCCUAAAAAGGGUCUUCCCCAGUCAGGGAAACAAUGCAAUUAGCAGCCUCUUUGUUCAGGGUGUUAAUUAACUUGUUUCUUCUGAACACACCUUCUUCCAGGUACAGCCCAUCAUCUCUGGGGUGCUGGCAGGGGGAAGGCAAUUAGAUCCUCGUUACUGUGCAAUUAAUUAUGGCUUGAAAAUGGCUCGAGGAGGCUGGGAGGAAUUCCUUGACAGCACCAGCCCCUGGAAGAGGCCUGGCUUAGGAGUGGGGCUGAGCUGAGCCUCGUUUGGGGGACCAGGGAAGUGGCUGUGGAGCCUAGUUCAGGGCCUUGCAUGCUACCCAGGGGACAUCUGGGGUACCUCCCUCCCCUGCCCAAGAACUUUCACUGGCUCCCUAGUCCCUAUCGAGUCAAGACCAACUCCCUACUUGGACAUUCAAGACUAUCUAUUGUGUGGCCUAACCCAUCGUUUCCACGUUAUCGUCCAUCGCAGCUACACACAGUCCAUCUCCCAACCAAACCCAGACUCAUGUGACUUGAAUGUACUUUUCCAGUCUUUGCUCACACCGUCUCCCCACCUGGGAUGGCUUUCUCCGUUCACUCUGCCUGCUGGGAAACUCUCUGUCUUUUAUCUUGAAUGGCGUGAUUAUCAUUGCAAAUCCCGACGCCUCCCCAGAGCCUCUCCUGAGGGCAAGAGGGGACUUAGAGAGAGUGAGGGUUUUUGACUGAGAGAAACUUGGACUCAACCAAUUAACCUCCUACAGCUUCACUCCCGCCUCCCCACCCUCAGUGUGAGGAGAAGCCCAAAGCCUGCCUCACAGACAGGGUGUGCCCAGUGUCGUGUCACGCUGUGGCCCCAGCCAGCCUUUGCCUCUGUGCUAACCACCACUCCUCACUGGGUCACAGGCUCUGCUAUCUUCAAACCAACUUCCAUCCUUUGUCCCUUGUGUCCUUCGCCUCAGUCCACGGAGGGUGCUGCUGUACCCUGCACGUCGCCUCAAGGGGGUCUGAGGUGGUGGUUCUCUGGGGGGCACUGUGGACCACCGCCCUGACUGAGGGCCCCUGGCACCUAGCGGACAUGACCAAGAUGCCGCAGGUCCUCCCAGACGUCAUGGAGGCGAAACGCCUGCGUAGAUUUGCUGAGGCCAGAACUUGGUGUUACUUAUGUUUCCGCUAUUCGGGGGCGUGAUUUUAUAUAUUUAUAAAUGUUAUGUGUGUGUAUGUGUAUGUAUAAAUGUGAUAUAUACUUAUAUAUAAAUCUACGUAUUUAUUCAUAUGUGUAUAUGUACAUGACUGUGUGUGUGUGUCUGUGGAAACAUAGAAUAUCUUCCAGGAAUGUAACCACUGAGUAAAUGGAAGGAAGAGUGGACUUUGUUUUUUUUGUUUUUUUGUCUUUUUAGGACCACACCUGUGGCAUAUGGAGGUUCCCAGGCUAGGGGUCGAGUCGGAGCUACAGCUGCUGGCCUAGUCCACAGCCACAGCAACACAGGAUCCGAGCCACAUCUGUGAUCUACACCACAGCUCACGGCAAUGCUGGAUCCUUAACCCCCUGAGCAAGGCCAGGGAUGGAACCCACAUCCUCAUGGAUCCUAGUCGGAUUCUUUACCAUUGGACUUUGUUUUGAUGAGUGUUUUACUGAGACCCGUUUGCCACUUGGAAAACUACACUGUGAACAGCAAUGCCGCUUAUAGUGUCGCAGUCCUGAGACGAGCCCGCUGCUCCGCCAGCACUUGCAGGUACUAAGCUCAUGGUGUCGUCAGGUGCAGGAGCAAGACUCCUUCAUGUGUCUUCACAAUCGCUGUGAGUUCCCGUCGUGGCGCAGUGGUUAACGAAUCCGACUAGGAAUCGUGAGGUUGCGGGUUCCGUCCCUGCUCUAUGCUCAGUGGGUUAAGGAUCCAGCGUUGCCGUGAGCUGUGGUGUAGGUUUCAGAUGCGGCUCAGAUGUGGCAUUGCUGUGGCUCUGGCGUAGGCUGGCGGCUACAACUCCGAUUCAACCACUAGCCUGGGAACCUCCAUAUGCCAAGGGAGCAGCCCCAGAAAUGGCAAAAAG
Molecule: long non-coding RNA, 3199 nt
Filed under: Sus scrofa (pig)
Lineage: Eukaryota; Metazoa; Chordata; Mammalia; Artiodactyla; Suidae
Description: lncRNA (ENSSSCG00060007442.1)
Source: RNAcentral